Arabidopsis thaliana (thale cress) is the source of this 347-nucleotide long non-coding RNA. RefSeq annotates it as other RNA. Lineage: Eukaryota; Viridiplantae; Streptophyta; Magnoliopsida; Brassicales; Brassicaceae. The transcript is spliced from 2 exons. The record is from RefSeq.
CUGUGUUACUCCUUAUGCUUGAUUAUAUAUGAAGUUGUGUAGGUGAUGACAAAUGUUGAACUCUCUUAACUGUUUUGAAGAACACAGGGAGACAUACAUGAACAUAUCAAGAAGAAUGAAGAGCUUCUCACUUUAUUCUCGACUAAUCAUUAUGUAUUUUAUUGAUGUCUUUUGAUCGACAAACAAAUGUUAUAAAUCGGUGAAACUCACGCCCAUUGAAGUAAGGGUAAUCUCGGCAUAAAUCGGUGAAAAUAUGGCAACUGUACAUUAGUACUGCACAUAAUGCCUAAAUCCGAAGAUCCCUUCCCAAAUAUGCCCAUUUUGACAAAUCUCCCCUUUAUCUUAUA